GACGAACGCUGGCGGCGUGCUUAACACAUGCAAGUCGAACGGAGAGGCCCUUCGUGGUGCUCGAGUGGCGAACGGGUGGGUAACACGUGGGUGAUUUGCCCUGCUCUUUGGGGUAAGCCUGGGGAACUGGGUCUUAUACCGUAUAGGGCCACGCGUUUCCUGGUGUGUGGUGGAAAGCGUUUGCGGUGUGGGUUGGGGUCGCGGCCUCUUGGCUUGUUGGUGGGGUAUUGGCAUUUCAAGGCGACGACGGGCAGCCGGCCUGAGAGGGUGACAGGCCACGCUGCGACUGAGAUACGACCCAGACUCCAACCGGAGGGGACGGUGGGGAAUAGUGCACAAUGGGCUGGAGCCUGCUGCAGCCAAGCCGCGUCAGGGAUGACGGCCUUCGGUUUGUAAACCUAUUUCAUUAGAGACGGAGCGCAAAUGACGGUACCUGUAGAAGAAGCACCGGCCAACUCCGUG
RNAcentral lists this ribosomal RNA (462 nucleotides) under uncultured bacterium. RNAcentral describes it as "partial 16S ribosomal RNA". It matches the Rfam family "Bacterial small subunit ribosomal RNA", at positions 28 to 507 of the family's 1533-position model. The record is from RNAcentral.